ACUUCAACGCUUGCAUUUGAAUGCGACAAUUUUCUCCUUUACAAUUCCAAACCAUAACAUUCCACUCUUCCCUUGAAACCUCUCACACUCAUCUUUUUCAGUAUAAAUUAGGAGCUCAAGACAUUUGGUGAACAAAUCUAUGUCGGAGAAGUUUUCGGGUUCUUUUGAUAAGUGCAAUUGUAAGAGAUCAAUGGUGACAAGAAGGAAAAACAGGUGUGACCUGUUUUCUACUGGCCCAUUAAACAUCCAUUUUAAAGAAAUUAUGGGAAUGGAGCUGUGUGAGGUGACAUCAAUGGUAGUUCUGCUGAAAAAAU
Long non-coding RNA from Pistacia vera, 314 nucleotides. RefSeq lists it as uncharacterized. The record is from RefSeq and is a predicted model, not a curated record. The transcript is spliced from 3 exons. Lineage: Eukaryota; Viridiplantae; Streptophyta; Magnoliopsida; Sapindales; Anacardiaceae.